Molecule: ribosomal RNA, 535 nt
Filed under: uncultured bacterium
Lineage: Bacteria
Description: bacterial SSU rRNA
Rfam family: Bacterial small subunit ribosomal RNA
Source: RNAcentral
UUGGCCUUGACAUACUAAGAACUUUCCAGGGAUGGAUUGGUGCCUUCGGGAACUUAGAUACAGGUGCUGCAUGGCUGUCGUCAGCUCGUGUCGUGAGAUGUUGGGUUAAGUCCCCGNAACGAGCGCAACCCUUUUCCUAUUUGCCAGCGGGUCAUGCCGGGAACUUUAAGGAUACUGCCAGUGACAAACUGGAGGAAGGCGGGGACGACGUCAAGUCAUCAUGGCCCUUACGGCCAGGGCUACACACGUGCUACAAUGGUCGGUACAAAGGGUUGCUACCUCGCGAGAGGAUGCUAAUCUCAAAAAGCCGAUCGUAGUCCGGAUCGCAGUCUGCAACUCGACUGCGUGAAGUCGGAAUCGCUAGUAAUCGCGGAUCAGAAUGCCGCGGUGAAUACGUUCCCGGGCCUUGUACACACCGCCCGUCACACCAUGGGAGUUUGUUGCACCAGAAGUAGGUAGUCUAACCGCAAGGAGGACGCUUACCACGGUGUGGCCGAUGACUGGGGUGAAGUCGUAACAAGGUAGGCGUAGAUGA